ACCUAGUCCCACCACACCCCCAAGGGUAUUCAGCAGUGAUAGAUAUUGUCUAUAAGCGCUAGCUUGACCCAGUUAUAGAGAAGAGAGCCGGCCAACUUGGUGCCAGCCGCCGCGGCUAGACCAACUGGACUCAAAUUGAUAAUCCCCGGCGUUAAGCGUGAUUAAAGCCAUGAACAAAUUAGAGUUAAACCUACGUUGAGCAGUGAAAAGCACACGAUAGGGAAAUCCAAAAACGAAAGUUAUUCUAAUCCUUGCUUGAAUACACGACAGCUAGGACACAAACUGGGAUUAGAUACCCCACUAUGCCUAGCCGUAAACUAUUAACCUACACCCACCCGCGCCAGGGAACUACGAGCUUUAGCUUAAAACCCAAAGGACUUGACGGUGUCCCACCCAACUAGAGGAGCCUGUUCUAUAAUCGAUGACCCCCGCUCCACCCAACCCCCCCUUGCUUUAUCAGCCUGUAUACCUCCGUCGUAAACCCGCCGUAUGAAUGUACCCAAGCGGAUUUAAUGGUCCCACACCAACACGUCAGGUCAAGGUGCAGCCAAUGGGAGAGGUAAGUGAUGGGCUACAAUUUCUAGUCUAGAACAAACGAAAUUCUGCAUGAAACACAGUUAUGAAGGAGGAUUUAGUAGUAAAAGGAAAGUAGCGUGUUCUUUUUAACAUGGCCCUGGGACGUGUACACA
RNAcentral lists this ribosomal RNA (689 nucleotides) under Hoplobatrachus tigerinus (Indus valley bullfrog). RNAcentral describes it as "partial 12S rRNA". It matches the Rfam family "Bacterial small subunit ribosomal RNA", at positions 318 to 1389 of the family's 1533-position model. Lineage: Eukaryota; Metazoa; Chordata; Amphibia; Anura; Dicroglossidae. The record is from RNAcentral.